AAGUCGUAACAAGGUUUCCGUAGGUGAACCUGCGGAAGGAUCAUUCUUGAUAUUUUAGCAUAUGCUAUUAAUCAAUUUGUGAACUGUCACUUCCCUUUUGUGGAUCGAAAUGUCUGCAUUAGGACCACAUGGCGAUCGAGAGGUCGUCGUGUGGACAAUAACUUUUUUUAUUAACAAACCCAACUCUUAUAACUAUAACUAAAACUUUGACAACUUUUAGCAAUGGAUCUCUAGGCUCUC
RNAcentral lists this unclassified non-coding RNA (240 nucleotides) under fungal sp. RNAcentral's name for it is "partial internal transcribed spacer region". The stretch from base 1 to 46 matches the Rfam family "Eukaryotic small subunit ribosomal RNA", at positions 1786 to 1831 of the family's 1831-position model. The record is from RNAcentral. Lineage: Eukaryota; Fungi.